GGAGUUUGGUCCGUGUCUCAGUACCAAUGUGGGGGACCUUCCUCUCAGAACCCCUACUGAUCGUCGCCUUGGUGGGCCGUUACCCCGCCAACUAGCUAAUCGGACGCGAGUCCAUCUUUGAGCGAUAAAAUCUUUGAUAUACCGACCAUGCGAUCAAUAUAUGUUAUGCGGUAUUAGCGUUCUUUUCAGAACGUUAUUCCCCUCUCAAAGGCAGGUUACUCACGCGUUACUCACCCGUCCGCCACUAAACUAAAAUUCCGUCUCCCCGAAGGAAUCCUUCCUAGUAGUUCCGUUCGACUUGCAUGUGUUAGGCACGCCGCCAGCGUUCGUCCUCGAGCCACGGAUCAAACUACU
RNAcentral lists this ribosomal RNA (354 nucleotides) under uncultured Ruminococcus sp. RNAcentral's name for it is "partial 16S ribosomal RNA". Lineage: Bacteria; Bacillati; Bacillota; Clostridia; Eubacteriales; Oscillospiraceae. The record is from RNAcentral.